GCGGGAAUAGCUCAGUUGGUUAGAGCGUCAGCCUUCCAAGCUGAAGGUCGCGGGUUCGAAUCCCGUUUCCCGCUCCA
This 77-nucleotide transfer RNA is filed under the name Bacillota bacterium. Its description in RNAcentral is "Firmicutes bacterium (anaerobic digester metagenome) tRNA-Gly". It matches the Rfam family "tRNA". From Rfam's summary of the family: Transfer RNA (tRNA) molecules are approximately 80 nucleotides in length. Their secondary structure includes four short double-helical elements and three loops (D, anti-codon, and T loops). The record is from RNAcentral. Lineage: Bacteria; Bacillati; Bacillota.